RNAcentral lists this ribosomal RNA (460 nucleotides) under uncultured bacterium. RNAcentral describes it as "partial 16S ribosomal RNA". It matches the Rfam family "Bacterial small subunit ribosomal RNA", at positions 338 to 795 of the family's 1533-position model. The record is from RNAcentral.
CCUACGGGCGGCAGCAGUGAGGAAUAUUGGUCAAUGGGCGCGAGCCUGAACCAGCCAAGUCGCGUGAGGGAAGACGGUCCUAUGGAUUGUAAACUUCUUUUGUCGGGGAACAAAAGACGCCACGCGUGGCGUUCCGAGAGUACCCUAAGAAUAAGCAUCGGCUAAUUCCGUGCCAGCAGCCGCGGUAAUACGGAAGGUCCGGGCGUUAUCCGGAUUUAUUGGGUUUAAAGGGAGCGUAGGCCGCAUGUUAAGCCUGCUGUGAAAUGUCCGGGCUCAACCCGGGACUUGCAGUGCGAACUGGCGUGCUGGAGUCCGCGGAAAGCAGGCGGAAUUCGUCGUGUAGCGGUGAAAGGCUUAGAUAUGACGAAGAACCCCGAUUGCGAAGGCAGCUUGCUGCAGCGGAACUGACGCUGAUGCUCGAAAGCGCGGGUAUCGAACAGGAUUAGAGACCCGUGUAGUC